ACAAGUAACGGGGGCGGACCCUGAAUUGCCAGCAACUGCAACCAAUUCUCUCCGCCCUGUCUGAUACACCCAUGUUUUUUGCGUACCACUGUUUCCUCGGCAGGCUUGCCUGCCAGUAGGACCCUUUAAACCCUUUGCAGUUGCAGUCAGCGUCAGAAAAACAUAAUAGUUA
RNAcentral lists this unclassified non-coding RNA (172 nucleotides) under uncultured Cucurbitariaceae. RNAcentral's name for it is "sequence contains ITS1". Lineage: Eukaryota; Fungi; Ascomycota; Dothideomycetes; Pleosporales; Cucurbitariaceae. The record is from RNAcentral.